ACGCUCGACACCUACGGGGGCAGCAGUUGGGAAUAUUGGACAAUGGAGGAAACUCUGAUCCAGUGACGCCGCGUGAAGGAAGAAGGUCUUCGGAUUGUAAACUUAUUUUGUCAGGGAAGAAAAAUGACUGUACCUGAAGAAAAAGCACCGGCUAACUACGUGCCAGCAGCCGUGGUAAUCUGAGGCGGGCUGGCAAGGC
Molecule: ribosomal RNA, 199 nt
Filed under: uncultured bacterium
Lineage: Bacteria
Description: partial 16S ribosomal RNA
Rfam family: Bacterial small subunit ribosomal RNA
Source: RNAcentral